UCACGUCUUACGACGGCAGUUUCACUAGAGUUCCCAGCGUUACCUGAUGGCAACUAGUGAUGGGGGUUGCGCUCGUUGCGGGACUUAACCCAACACCUCACGACACGAGCUGACGACAGCCAUGCAGCACCUGUGCAAUUGUUCCGACCGAAGCCGGAAAGACCGUAUUUCUACAGCUGUCAAAAGCAUGUCAAAUCUAGGUAAGGUUCCUCGCGUAGUGUCGAAUUAAACCACAUGUUCCACCGCUUGUGCGGGCCCCCGUCAAUUUCUUUGAGUUUUAGUCUUGCGACCGUAGUCCCCAGGCGGAUCACUUAUCGCGUUAGCUUCGAUACUAAUCCUAUAAAUAGAACUAACAUCUAGUGAUCAUCGUUUACAGCGUGGACUAC
Molecule: unclassified non-coding RNA, 386 nt
Filed under: uncultured bacterium
Lineage: Bacteria
Description: contains 16S-23S intergenic spacer region
Source: RNAcentral